Molecule: ribosomal RNA, 264 nt
Filed under: uncultured bacterium
Lineage: Bacteria
Description: partial 16S ribosomal RNA
Rfam family: Bacterial small subunit ribosomal RNA
Source: RNAcentral
AUUAACCGCUAGCGGCAGGCAUAAUACAUGCAAGUUGAACGGCAGCACAGGUAGCAAUACUGGGUGGCGAGUGGCGCACGGGUGCGUAACACGUAUGCAACCUACCCUAUACAGGCGAAUAACCUUUAGAAAUGAGGGCUAAUACGCCGUAGUAUUACAGAUGGGCAUCUAUUUGUAAUUAAAGAUUUAUCGGUAUAGGAUGGGCAUGCGUCCCAUUAGUUAGUUGGUAAGGUAACGGCUUACCAAGACGAUGAUGGGUAGGGG